Molecule: small nuclear RNA, 130 nt
Organism: Gadus morhua (Atlantic cod)
Lineage: Eukaryota; Metazoa; Chordata; Actinopteri; Gadiformes; Gadidae
Product: U4atac minor spliceosomal RNA
Source: Ensembl
ACUUUCCUUGUCUUGGGGUGGCUUGAGAUACUCUAUGAACGUCUAGUGAGAGUAACUCUGCUAACACCAUAAUCGACACAUUCGCAUCACCUGAACCUCGUGUUCGGGCAAUGGUGCAAUUUUUGGAACA